This 606-nucleotide ribosomal RNA is filed under the name uncultured bacterium. Its description in RNAcentral is "bacterial SSU rRNA". It matches the Rfam family "Bacterial small subunit ribosomal RNA", at positions 59 to 652 of the family's 1533-position model. The record is from RNAcentral.
CAGUCGAGGGGCAGCAUGGUCUUAGCUUGCUAAGGCUGAUGGCGACCGGCGCACGGGUGAGUAACACGUAUCCAACCUGCCGUCUACUCUUGGCCAGCCUUCUGAAAGGAAGAUUAAUCCAGGAUGGGAUCAUGAGUUCACAUGUCCGCAUGAUUAAAGGUAUUUUCCGGUAGACGAUGGGGAUGCGUUCCAUUAGAUAGUAGGCGGGGUAACGGCCCACCUAGUCAACGAUGGAUAGGGGUUCUGAGAGGAAGGUCCCCCACAUUGGAACUGAGACACGGUCCAAACUCCUACGGGAGGCAGCAGUGAGGAAUAUUGGUCAAUGGGCGAUGGCCUGAACCAGCCAAGUAGCGUGAAGGAUGACUGCCCUAUGGGUUGUAAACUUCUUUUAUAAAGGAAUAAAGUCGGGUAUGCAUACCCGUUUGCAUGUACUUUAUGAAUAAGGAUCGGCUAACUCCGUGCCAGCAGCCGCGGUAAUACGGAGGAUCCGAGCGUUAUCCGGAUUUAUUGGGUUUAAAGGGAGCGUAGAUGGAUGUUUAAGUCAGUUGUGAAAGUUUGCGGCUCAACCGUAAAAUUGCAGUUGAUACUGGAUGUCUUGAGUGCAGU